GAACGGUUGGCUCAGUGAAAGGAGCGCUCGCGCAGUACGCGAGAGGUCGCGGGUUCGAGUCCCGCAUCGUUCA
This is a non-coding RNA of Leptidea sinapis, 73 nucleotides long. Lineage: Eukaryota; Metazoa; Arthropoda; Insecta; Lepidoptera; Pieridae. The record is from the annotation of a RefSeq genome assembly.